Molecule: ribosomal RNA, 547 nt
Filed under: uncultured Glomeromycotina
Lineage: Eukaryota; Fungi; Glomeromycota
Description: SSU rRNA
Rfam family: Eukaryotic small subunit ribosomal RNA
Source: RNAcentral
UUGGAGGGCAAGUCUGGUGCCAGCAGCCGCGGUAAUUCCAGCUCCAAUAGCGUAUAUUAAAGUUGUUGCAGUUAAAAAGCUCGUAGUUGAAUUUCGGGAUCAAUAUACCGGUCGUGCCUCAGGUAUGAACUGGUCUUAUUGGUUUCUCCCUUCUGACGAACCAUGAUGUCAUUAAUUUGAUGUCGUGGAGAAUCAGGACUGUUACUUUGAAAAAAUUAGAGUGUUUAAAGCAGGCUAACGCUUGAAUACAUUAGCAUGGAAUAAUGAAAUAGGACGUUCGAUCCUAUUUUGUUGGUUUCUAGGAUCGACGUAAUGAUUAAUAGGGAUAGUUGGGGGCAUUAGUAUUCAAUUGUCAGAGGUGAAAUUCUUGGAUUUAUUGAAGACUAACUACUGCGAAAGAGAUUUGCCAAGGAUGUUUUCAUUAAUCAAGAACGAAAGUUAGGGGAUCGAAGACGAUCAGAUACCGUCGUAGUCUUAACCAUAAACUAUGCCGACUAGGGAUCGGAUGAUGUUAAUUUUAUAAUGACUCAUCGGCGCCUACGGAAAC